RNAcentral lists this ribosomal RNA (857 nucleotides) under Dothidea eucalypti. Its description in RNAcentral is "eukaryotic LSU rRNA". It matches the Rfam family "Eukaryotic large subunit ribosomal RNA", at positions 68 to 942 of the family's 3401-position model. Lineage: Eukaryota; Fungi; Ascomycota; Dothideomycetes; Dothideales; Dothideaceae. The record is from RNAcentral.
ACAGGGAUUGCCCUAGUAACGGCGAGUGAAGCGGCAAUAGCUCAAAUUUGAAAGCUGGCUUAUGGCCCGCAUUGUAAUUUGUAGAGGAUGCUUUUAGGCAGCCGCCGGUCUAAGUUCCUUGGAACAGGACGUCAUAGAGGGUGAGAAUCCCGUAUGUGACCGGCUCUGGCACCUUAUGUAAAGCUCCUUCGACGAGUCGAGUUGUUUGGGAAUGCAGCUCUAAAUGGGAGGUAAAUUUCUUCUAAAGCUAAAUACUGGCGAGAGACCGAUAGCGCACAAGUAGAGUGAUCGAAAGAUGAAAAGCACUUUGGAAAGAGAGUUAAAAAGCACGUGAAAUUGUUGAAAGGGAAGCGCUUGCAAUCAGACUUGGACUUGGCUGUUCAACAGGUCUUCUGACCUGCCUAUUCAGUCUUGUCCAGGCCAGCAUCAGUUUCGGCGGCCGGAUAAAGGCCCUGGGAAUGUGGCUUUCCCUUCGGGGGAAGUGUUAUAGCCCAGGGUGUAAUACGGCCAGCUGGGACUGAGGUCCGCGCUUCGGCUAGGAUGCUGGCGUAAUGGUUGUAAGCGGCCCGUCUUGAAACACGGACCAAGGAGUCUAACAUCUAUGCGAGUGUUAGGGUGUCAAACCCUUACGCGUAAUGAAAGUGAACGGAGGUGAGAACCCGCAAGGGUGCAUCAUCGACCGAUCCUGAUGUCUUCGGAUGGAUUUGAGUAAGAGCAUAGCUGUUGGGACCCGAAAGAUGGUGAACUAUGCCUGAAUAGGGUGAAGCCAGAGGAAACUCUGGUGGAGGCUCGCAGCGGUUCUGACGUGCAAAUCGAUCGUCAAAUUUGGGUAUAGGGGCGAAAGACUAAUCGAACCA